RNAcentral lists this ribosomal RNA (736 nucleotides) under uncultured Arcobacter sp. RNAcentral's name for it is "bacterial SSU rRNA". It matches the Rfam family "Bacterial small subunit ribosomal RNA", at positions 28 to 774 of the family's 1533-position model. The record is from RNAcentral. Lineage: Bacteria; Pseudomonadati; Campylobacterota; Epsilonproteobacteria; Campylobacterales; Arcobacteraceae.
AGUGAACGCUGGCGGCGUGCUUAACACAUGCAAGUCGAACGAGAACGGAUUAUAGCUUGCUAUAAUUGUCAGCUAAGUGGCGCACGGGUGAGUAAUGUAUAGAUAACCUGCCCUUAAGAAAGGAAUAACAGUUGGAAACGACUGCUAAUGCCCUAUAUGCCUUUAAUACAUAAGUAUGCAAGGGAAACGCUUUAGUGCUUAAGGAUGGGUCUGUAUGGUAUCAGCUUGUUGGUGAGGUAAUGGCUCACCAAGGCUAUGACGCCUAACUGGUUUGAGAGGAUGAUCAGUCACACUGGAACUGAGACACGGUCCAGACUCCUACGGGAGGCAGCAGUGGGGAAUAUUGCACAAUGGACGAAAGUCUGAUGCAGCAACGCCGCGUGGAGGAUGACACAUUUCGGUGCGUAAACUCCUUUUAUAUAGGAAGAUAAUGACGGUACUAUAUGAAUAAGCACCGGCUAACUCCGUGCCAGCAGCCGCGGUAAUACGGAGGGUGCAGGCGUUACUCGGAAUCACUGGGCGUAAAGAGCGUGUAGGCGGGUAUAUAAGUCAGAAGUGAAAUCCAAUAGCUCAACUAUUGAACUGCUUUUGAAACUGUAUACCUAGAAUGUGGGAGAGGUAGAUGGAAUUUCUGGUGUAGGGGUAAAAUCCGUAGAGAUCAGAAGGAAUACCGAUUGCGAAGGCGAUCUACUGGAACAUUAUUGACGCUGAGACGCGAAAGCGUGGGGAGCAAACA